GGCGAACGGGUGAGUAACACGUGAGUAACCUGCCCUUAACUCUGGGAUAAGCCUGGGAAACUGGGUCUAAUACCGGAUAGGAGCGCCUACCGCAUGGUGGGUGUUGGAAAGAUUUAUCGGUUUUGGAUGGACUCGCGGCCUAUCAGCUUGUUGGUGAGGUAAUGGCUCACCAAGGCGACGACGGGUAGCCGGCCUGAGAGGGUGACCGGCCACACUGGGACUGAGACACGGCCCAGACUCCUACGGGAGGCAGCAGUGGGGAAUAUUGCACAAUGGGCGCAAGCCUGAUGCAGCGACGCCGCGUGAGGGAUGACGGCCUUCGGGUUGUAAACCUCUUUCAGUAGGGAAGAAGCGAAAGUGACGGUACCUGCAGAAGAAGCACCGGCUAACUACGUGCCAGCAGCCGCGGUAAUACGUAGGGUGCGAGCGUUAUCCGGAAUUAUUGGGCGUAAAGAGCUCGUAGGCGGUUUGUCGCGUCUGUCGUGAAAGUCCGGGGCUUAACCCCG
Molecule: ribosomal RNA, 506 nt
Rfam family: Bacterial small subunit ribosomal RNA